RNAcentral lists this ribosomal RNA (464 nucleotides) under uncultured soil bacterium. RNAcentral describes it as "bacterial SSU rRNA". It matches the Rfam family "Bacterial small subunit ribosomal RNA", at positions 26 to 501 of the family's 1533-position model. The record is from RNAcentral.
AGGACGAACGCUGGCGGCGUGCUUAACACAUGCAAGUCGAGCGGAAAGGCCCUUCGGGGUACUCGAGCGGCGAACGGGUGAGUAACACGUGGGCAACCUGCCCUCAGCUCUGGGAUAACUCCGGGAAACCGGGGCUAAUACCGGAUACGACCACUCCUGGCAUCUGGGGUGGUGGAAAGUUUUUCGGCUGAGGAUGGGCCCGCGGCCUAUCAGCUUGUUGGUGGGGUCACGGCCCACCAAGGCGACGACGGGUAGCCGGCCUGAGAGGGCGACCGGCCACACUGGGACUGAGACACGGCCCAGACUCCUACGGGAGGCAGCAGGUGGGGAAUAUUGCGCAAUGGGCGGAAGCCUGACGCAGCGACGCCGCGUGAGGGAUGGAACGGCCUUCGGGUGUAAACCUCUUUCAGCGAGGGACAAGGCGAGAGUAGACGUACCGUGCGAAGAAGAAGCCACCGGCCAAC